This 440-nucleotide ribosomal RNA is filed under the name uncultured bacterium. Its description in RNAcentral is "partial 16S ribosomal RNA". It matches the Rfam family "Bacterial small subunit ribosomal RNA", at positions 338 to 795 of the family's 1533-position model. The record is from RNAcentral.
CCUACGGGAGGCAGCAGUGGGGAAUAUUGCACAAUGGGGGGAACCCUGAUGCAGCGACGCCGCGUGAGUGAAGAAGUAUUUCGGUAUGUAAAGCUCUGUCAGCAGGGAAGAAAAUGACGGUACCUGACCAAGAAGCCCCGGCUAACUACGUGCCAGAAGCCGCGGGAAUACGUAGGGGGCAAGCGUUAUCCGGAUUUAUUGGGUGUAAAGGGAGAGUAGACGGCAGGGCAAGUCUGGAGGUAAAGGGGGGGGCUCAACCCCCGGACUGCUCUGGAAACUGCCAGGCUGGAGUGCAGGAGAGGUAAGUGGAAUUCCUAGUGUAGCGGUAAAAUGCGUAGAUAUUAGGAGGAACACCAGUGGCGAAGGCGGCUUACUGGACUGGAACUGACGUUGAGGCUCGAAAGCGUGGGGAGCAAACAGGAUUAGAUACCCUUGUAGUC